UGUGAAACACAACAUAGGAGGCUUCUCAUG
RNAcentral lists this non-coding RNA (30 nucleotides) under Rattus norvegicus (Norway rat). Lineage: Eukaryota; Metazoa; Chordata; Mammalia; Rodentia; Muridae. The record is from RNAcentral.